UUCACUCUUUGGGAUUUUGCAUCGUUUAUUUGUAGCUUAAUGCCAGACCAGCUCUGAUUGGAUUUGUAUCAUUCUCUUCCACUUACGAUGGACGCUUAAAAGAUUCUUAAGUCAGCAAGAUUCACCAUGAUUAUCCAGCCAGUUAUUCAUCACAUGAUGCAGUUGUUGUUGGUGCUCGUGGAGCUGGAUUUUGUGCAGAUUUUUGUUGACUCGCAGGCAUCAUAAAUCUUCAAUAGGUGUUGUUCGAUGUAAGUGGCCAUUUUCUUAAAGCGGUUCUGCUUG
RNAcentral lists this long non-coding RNA (282 nucleotides) under Daphnia magna. Its description in RNAcentral is "uncharacterized LOC123468140, transcript variant X3". The record is from RNAcentral. Lineage: Eukaryota; Metazoa; Arthropoda; Branchiopoda; Diplostraca; Daphniidae.